CUAUGUAAAUUUCAUUAGCAAACCAAGAUGAACAAGAACAAAUAGAGACAUUAAGCAUACAGAAACAUAAAUAUCCCCCAAGUCUAAGUCCACAUAUGGAAAACAAGAAAAACAAAAUGAUUAAAAUUACAGAACAAAGCACUUAGUUAGAGAAACAUCAUCUUUUAAACAAAACAUAAGAUUAGAAUGUUGAAGUCCAAUGGAGCAGAAGGCUUCGACACCGAAGCAUCUCACUCAGCAGAUGUCACAAAAGCAUACCACCAACGAAGACAAGAUGCUCUUUCUUAAUCCGGCGAAGCUACAACACUAAUCAACACAAACUCGAACAUCUCUGAGAGAGAACAAAUUAAAGACUCACCCUUAGGAAAAUAGAGAUAUCUCAGAACUCGCAAUUUCCAAACCUUCAACCGGCUAACGCAGAGGGACCCUCGCAAACACAGAGAGAAACCCACAAAGAUGACUGCGAGAAGGAUAAAUGGAGAAGGUAUCGACGACAAGAGAAGGAAAACAAAAUAGCUUUUUGAAGAGCGUAUCCAUUCCAAAGUACUAUUUUUCAUAGGCAAGAGAAACGAAAACAACAUAUACCAUCAUUCCAAAGAGCAGCCAAAACUAAUCUGACAACCAUAUCUAAAACCAGCAGAAGCAACGACCACCGACAACUACCGCUGCAACUAGGCACAAACCGACAAUAAAAAGAAGAUGAUCUCUAACCCAUCAUCAAUAAAGGAAAAUGGAGACAACCCGAAUGAACCAAAAACAUAACUAGUCCACUUCGAUGAUGUCGUUGAUGGGCCUCGUUACCCGAAGACGAAACAGUGCAUAGCCGUUUAAAAAAAAGUAAAUCACAAAGGGAGUUCAGCUCUGGUGCGAACGGAGCCACCAUAGUUGAUCAAAACUCAACUUGUUUGUUAGAUCUGGUAUUUUUAGAGGGAAAAGAGAGAGAGUGUAGGUAAAAAAAAAAAACUACAGCACCAUUUCUUAAACAGUUGACUAUUUGUUGUUAUAAAAAGUACAUUUGACUUUCCUUUGGCAGUGAUUGUAUGCCACCAAU
RNAcentral lists this long non-coding RNA (1051 nucleotides) under Brassica rapa (field mustard). Its description in RNAcentral is "long non-coding RNA (BRAP_LNC005923)". The record is from RNAcentral. Lineage: Eukaryota; Viridiplantae; Streptophyta; Magnoliopsida; Brassicales; Brassicaceae.